CUUCUUUAAUCUCAAAUUAAUUUGCAGUAAUAAACAAUCAUUUUCAAUUUAUUCCGAAACUCGAUACUGAAACAUCAACCUUACAAUACUUAUGGUUAGACGGUGUUCGCAUCCGGAAUCAAAAUAUAAUGUUUCGGUGGCAUGGAAACACAUUUACUUUUGGUGUGCAUAGCAGAAUGUUCCAGGCGGCUUAGACGAAGCUGUUAAAUAACUGGCAAUGUUUUAAUUCGAGUUCGAAGGUCAAAAUUUUCUAGAAACGCUUGGAAGGGAGUGAAGCCGUUUGCAAUGUCAAUGAAGUCAAUCUGAUUGAAAAGUUAUUAAAAGGAUCAUCAUCUGACCUCUUAGAACUUAGAUGAUAGUCAAACGAUUAGAUUAAAUGGAAUCAAAAGUUAUAUUAAUAAUUAAUAAUAAUUAUAAGAAGAAACAAAUUGUAAAUAUAAUGACAGUAAAUUAAAUCAACGCAUCCCAAAAGCAUUUGAUCCUCCUCGCGGUUGUGUUGGAGCGUCACCUGCUAUUGCCUUUUAAACUCAUAUAAUAUCGCUUUAUACAAAUUUAUUGAAAUAAAAAUGUAUACACAUUUGUAUGUACAUACAAAAUAAUUUAA
Episyrphus balteatus (marmalade hoverfly) is the source of this 604-nucleotide long non-coding RNA. RefSeq lists it as uncharacterized. The record is from RefSeq and is a predicted model, not a curated record. NCBI's taxonomy places the organism in Eukaryota, Metazoa, Arthropoda, Insecta, Diptera, Syrphidae. The transcript is spliced from 2 exons.